UAACCCUGGUUAAGGAACUCUGCAAACUAGCACCGUAUCUUCGGUAUAAGGUGUGCCUACUUUGGUAUAUGGACUUGCUCCAAAAAGCUAGAGAGGUUGCAACAAAGAGUCCCUCCCGACUGUUUACCAAAAACACAGCACUUUGCUAACACGUAAGUGGAUGUAUAAGGUGUGACGCCUGCCCGGUGCUCGAAGGUUAACUGAUGAUGUCAGCGCAAGCGAAGCAUUUGAUUGAAGCCCGAGUAAACGGCGGCCGUAACAAUAACGGUCCUAAGGUAGCGAAAUUCCUUGUCGGUUAAAUACCGACCUGCAUGAAUGGCGUAACGAGAUGGGAGCUGUCUCAACCAGGGAUCCAGUGAAAUUGUAGUGGAGGUGAAAAUUCCUCCUACCCGCGGAAAGACGGAAAGACCCCGUGCACCUUUACUACAGCUUGACACUGUAGCUUGGAUAUUCAUGUGCAGGAUAGGUGGGAGGCUAUGAUGCUAGGACGCAAGUACUAGCGGAGCCAUCCUUGAGAUACCACCCUUGAAUAUUUGAGUUACUAACUGCGUACAAUUAUCUUGUAUCAGGACAAUGUCUGGUGGGUAGUUUGACUGGGGCGGUCGCCUCCUAAAAGUAACGGAGGCUUACAAAGGUUAGUUCAUGGCGGAUGGAAGUCGCCAGUUGAGUAUAAUGGCAUAAACUAGCUUGACUGUGAGACAUACAAGUCGAACAGAGACGAAAGUCGGUCAUAGUGAUCCGGUGGUUCUGUGUGGAAGGGCCAUCGCUCAAAGGAUAAAAGGUACGCCGGGGAUAACAGGCUGAUCUCCCCCAAGAGCUCACAUCGACGGGGAGGUUUGGCACCUCGAUGUCGGCUCAUCGCAUCCUGGGGCUGGAGUAGGUCCCAAGGGUAUGGCUGUUCGCCAUUUAAAGCGGUACGCGAGCUGGGUUCAGAACGUCGUGAGACAGUUCGGUCCCUAUCUUCCGUGGGCGUAGGAAAGUUGAAGAGAUUUGUCCCUAGUACGAGAGGACCGGGAUGAACGUACCACUGGUGUACCAAUUGUUCUGCCAAGAGCAUCGUUGGGUAGCUACGUACGGAUGUGAUAAGAGCUGAAAGCAUCUAAGCUCGAAGCCAACUCUAAGAUUAACUUUCCCUGAAGUUCCCAGCAAGACUAGCUGGUUGAUAGGCUGGAUGUGUAAGCGUUGUAAGGCGUUUAGCUGACCAGUACUAAUAGAACGUUUGGCCU
RNAcentral lists this ribosomal RNA (1226 nucleotides) under metagenome. Its description in RNAcentral is "bacterial LSU rRNA". It matches the Rfam family "Bacterial large subunit ribosomal RNA", at positions 1696 to 2925 of the family's 2925-position model. The record is from RNAcentral.